RNAcentral lists this ribosomal RNA (467 nucleotides) under uncultured bacterium. RNAcentral's name for it is "partial 16S ribosomal RNA". It matches the Rfam family "Bacterial small subunit ribosomal RNA", at positions 28 to 507 of the family's 1533-position model. The record is from RNAcentral.
GACGGACGCUGGCGGCGUGCUUAACACAUGCAAGUCGAACGGAAAGGCCUCUUUUGCGGGGUACACGAGUGGCGCACGGGUGAGUAACACGUGAGUAACCUGCCCUUGAUUUUGGGAUAACUUCAGGAAAAUGGGGCUAAUAUCGGAUAGGAGCUCCUGAUGCAUGGUGGGGGUUGGAAAGUUUCGGCGGUUGGGAUUGGACUCGCGGCUUAUCAGCUUGUUGGUGCGGUCGUGGCUUACCAAGGCUUGGACGGGUAGGCGGCCUGAGAGAGUGACCGGCCGCAUUGGGACUGAGAUACGGCCCAGACAGCUACGGGAGGCAGCAGUGGGGAAGAGUGCACAAGGGGUGGAGGCCUGGUGCAGCAACUCCGUGUGCGGGAUGACUGCCUUCGGGUUGAAAACCACUUUCGCACAUGACUGGGCUGUUUGUGACGGUAGUGGGUAAAGAAGCACCGGCUAACUACGUG